RNAcentral lists this transfer RNA (66 nucleotides) under Synendotendipes sp. RNAcentral's name for it is "tRNA-His". Lineage: Eukaryota; Metazoa; Arthropoda; Insecta; Diptera; Chironomidae. The record is from RNAcentral.
AUUUAAAUAGUUUAUUAAAAAUAUUGAUUUGUGGUGUCAAAGUUAUAAAAAUUUUUAUUUUAAAUC